CCUACGGGAGGCAGCAGUGGGGAAUAUUGGACAAUGGGCGCAAGCCUGAUCCAGCAAUGCCGCGUGAGUGAUGAAGGCCUUAGGGUCGUAAAGCUCUUUUACCAGGGAUGAUAAUGACAGUACCUGGAGAAUAAGUUCCGGCUAACUCCGUGCCAGCAGCCGCGGUAAUACGGAGGGAGCUAGCGUUGUUCGGAAUUACUGGGCGUAAAGCGUACGUAGGCGGUUAUUCAAGUCAGAGGUGAAAGCCCGGGGCUCAACCCCGGAACGGCCUUUGAAACUAGGUAGCUAGAAUCUUGGAGAGGUCAGUGGAAUUCCGAGUGUAGAGGUGAAAUUCGUAGAUAUUCGGAAGAACACCAGUGGCGAAGGCGACUGACUGGACAAGUAUUGACGCUGAGGUACGAAAGCGUGGGGAGCAAACAGGAUUAGAUACCCUGGUAGUCCACGCCGUAAACGAUGAUAACUAGCUGUUCGGGCACUUGGUGCUUGAGUGACGCAGCUAACGCAUUAAGUUAUCCGCCUGGGGAUACGGUCGCAAGAUUAAAACUCAAAUGAAAUUGAAGGCUGAGAGUGCGAGACGACGACGAGGAGAGG
This 591-nucleotide ribosomal RNA is filed under the name uncultured bacterium. RNAcentral describes it as "bacterial SSU rRNA". It matches the Rfam family "Bacterial small subunit ribosomal RNA", at positions 338 to 946 of the family's 1533-position model. The record is from RNAcentral.